UGAAUACUUCCCGAACUAUGAAAUUAUAAUCCUGAGAUUCUUCUUCAUUGUGUAAGGAUUAUAGAGUGGCUUGAUUAAGGGUAUUGCAAAAAAGAAUGGUGAUGCAAGAAGAAAAAAGUAAUAAUCAUUUAUACUUAAUUAACAAAAACAAAUGUUGUGUGUUUUUCAUUAGCCACAGGGAUUCAUUAAGUAUAGUAGCGCUGGAUUUAAAGAUGCUCCUAGUACAAGACAUGAAGAUGCUUUGACUAAUUUAGUUGAGGACCUUAACUGCUCUAAGGCAAGAAGGGUCCUCAUUAGAUUCUGAGUCUCUCUGUAAGAUUAGGCGGCAACCACUUGGAGCGCAAAACUUAAUAAAAGUUUUGGGUCUAGUUUGAUUCCUUCUGGUGAAUCACAAGGCUAGAGAUCUUCAAUUUAUCCCUAACACUGGCACUCUGGAGCGGCCAAGGAGCCUCAUGCCAAAGCAAAGGUGCUCCCAAUCCAUCUGGAAGAUCUGAGAGCUGCUCAUCAGAGGUCGUUCGCAGCUCUGAGAGCACAUGGAGCUCAGGUCCUGACGCCAGUUCCGAGCCUCGGGGUGAAGUGUCCCGGAAUGCAAUCUUGCUUCCAGCACAGACUUGAGCCGGCACAUUUUGAAGGGAAGUUUCAUCAAAUACUGAUUUAUGCCACCUGCAACCUAAAUGAAGCACUCUUCUGACAGCAAUCAGGCUUCUUUUUAAAUAGAAAUCAAUUGUUUCUGCACUGGAAACAGCUGUUUCCCACGAGGCCAGGAAUGGCGUGAAUCGAGGGAGGUAGUCACCCUGCAUACAAAACUUUAGAGGGCACCCCAAAACUCAGUAAUCCAGAGUCACAAGGCUUUCCAAGUCUUUUGAGAAGAAAACCUGCUAUAAAUGAAACAGGAUGGCUAAUUCUGUAUCUUCAUAAUUCAUGUGAAAUCCGGAUUUUGUUAAACAAAAGUAUUACGACAAGUGGUUCAGUUCAACCCGUGAAGAUCUGCCAGUGCGUCUCCAUAACGUUCAAAGCAGCCUGGCCAACCUGGCAGUUCUCUUGAAGUUGUAAAACCUCCAUUCCAACAAUCCCGCUGAGUUUUUCUAUCAGAAGACACAGGUUUUCCUUCUUAGGAUGCUUCUCUGCCACCUGGAGGAUAUAAGAGAUAAUAUGGAGAAUGAUGAAAACAGUUUUCAUGUCUUGGGAGAGCCACCAAGGGAGGCAGCGUACCACAAGGAAUCCACAGCUGGAUGUCUGGAUGCCUCCUCUGGAUGGAGAACUUGCGGUGCAUCAGGAGCUGGGGCAGCAUGCUCAGCCGCCUGUGUCAACGGCCACUUAGUUCUGGUGAUCCGUUACAAUGACGAAGUUUCCACAGUGUGGAGAGAGGGGGUCAAGACAUUGAGCCUCAAACUGGUCAUGAGCUCUAGCAGCCAGGCAGGACCCCCUUGUCAACCGUUUGGCAGAUGCACUCAUUGCAGCCAUCAUGAGGUAGGACAUGGCCCAGCAGGUGUCCCAGGGAACCUCAUUGCCACGACGCUGUGGGAGGUGGAAGAGGAGCAACAACAUUUACUUGACCACUUUUUCACAAGAGUACCGGUUGUUGUUUUGCUCCAGUGUGGACAAGGUCCACAUGAUGUUCUACAGAAAUGGGAUGGGUAUGGUUGAUGAAAAACCAGGGCCAGCAGAUGUGGGACAGCAUUGCUCAAGAGGACGAUGUCUCUGAAUUCUCAGCUGUCACCUGCUCUGUUACCAAGAACCCACACUACCUGUUCACAAACAGUCACACCAGGAGAAGACAGAAGCUCACUCAAGGGCUGGAUGGCACUCCGUCCACAACAGCUGGUGUCUGCUCCAAAGUCAAUGAAGCUGUGCUGGUCAGAGCCCAGGCUGCCUCAACCGCAAGCAGUGGUGAAGCCAUGACUUCAGGAGCUCCAGCAGCAUGAGAACGAGCCUUGCUUCAACAAUCUAUUUUAGAGGAGGGCUUCUUUCUUGAGACAGCAUUUUCCUGGCUGCCUGAGUGGCCUGGACACAUAGCUCUGGGUCUGAGGAGUCACACCAUUGAUUAUUUCAUGCAGGGGGAAGCUGACCAAUUUGGCGAGCUUUCCUGAAACUGGGUCAGGUGAGAGAUUGGUCAUGUUCCUUCUCUUUACAGCCUGCUCGUCUUUCUUGGCUUUCUGGAGCUGUAGGCUGAUUGCCAUCUGCUGUUGCUGCCUCAUAGAUGCUUCUUUGCCUCAGUACUGAAAUUUCCUCAGCCUCUCGACUAGAACUUCUAAAGUUGGCACAUUGACUGGAAGAAGCAUAAGAAACCACCUGGCGGAGCUGCCCUGAUUGAUGAGGUAGAAAGAAAGCAAUAUUCGAAGUCCAAAACCCAAGGUCCAAUUUGUGACUGAUUAGAAUAUACGACCUGAUUUCACCUACAAUGUUAUUUACCUUUCUUAGGUAGCAGUUCUUUCUUCUAUGGAUUAGUGGUGAUAAUACCUGACUUUCUGAAGUUCAGGCUAUUUUGGAAGAAGACAACUAUUAAUGCAAUAACAAAACUUUUGAAAUAUGUAAUUCCUAUUGAUAUUCCUUAAGCAAUGCAGUGCAUUUUCAUUAUCAUCCUACCUUGUGUCAGCAAAAAUUCUAUGAACUAGGUAAGCUGAAGGUGAACCCAGUGCGCUAGAAAAGAAGGGUGUGCUCUUAUAACGAUAGUAUUGAGCUGAGAAGUCUGUGAGGGGCUGUACUUAAGGACUCAGUAUUGACACUUGCAUUUUUGUAUACACAUUCUCUCCUCUCCCAUAAAAUAUUGAUUAAGCACUUAAGUUUAUUGAGUAAAGUAAUGCAUAAAUCUAACACAUGGUAUCAAGUUUCGAGAAGAUUAUAAUUCACUUUGUCAGACUGUACUGGCAGUCAUUAAACAGCCAAUGACGUAUUUCUAAGUUUCGUGCAAAAAGUACAUUAGUAAUUGCUCAGCUAAACCAGUUUAGCAGUCUUUCCUUCCCAUUUUCUUUGAGAACUUUGUCUCAAAAUUCUAGAAUAGCAAUGAUUUUGUGGUCUACUUGUUAUUGGGACAUUUGGUUAAUAAUGGGAUAUUUCAGAGUACACGGGAGGAGCAAAAUGGUAAUCACAUGCACAGAAACGUUUGUCAAAGAUUAUAGCAUUAAAGUGGACACUAGAGCUAAAGAAAUAGCCAGAGGAGAAUGAAUGAUGGAAGAGAGUUUUAAUUUAUUUUUAUGUUGACUUCAAGCAUGUUUAAAAGAGAAUGGACUGUAAGUAGAUAAUGAAUCAUCGUACAACAGAAAAAGGAGAGGCAAGGAUUCCUUUUUAUCAGGAAUGGAAAGGAAAUGAGUGGGUGAAAAUGACUAUCCAUUUAGAGACUUGUUGAGAGGAAAGGGAAGUCACAAUUGAUGUGUCUUGCAGUGAGGUGGAGAAUAUCUGAAAAGAGUACAUAUGUUUUAAAUCUCCCCAGUGGAGACUGGGAGAGAGGCUGGCUAGUAAACAUAGCAGGACUGCUGAGAGCACAAAGAUUUAAACUGAAUUCGCUGUCCAUAUUUAUAGAGGAGCUGAUCUGUCUGCUUUGUUAUUUUUCUUCAGUAAAAUGCAACAGAUAUUAGACAUAGAGAAUAAUUGUAUUAAUUCAAGGAUGAUGCAUAUGGAUAUCAGGUCAUGAGAUUGGAAGUAUUUAACCUUGGGAAGAAAGGAUGUGAAGAUUAUGAGAGCUCCUAUUGGGAGAGUGUUCAAGCGCGAGGGGGAAGAUUUCCAGCAGGGCAGCCGCAUACGGAAGAUUGGGCAGAGUCCUCGCAGAUGGCGGUGUCAGAGCAGGGGAGCCUGAAGAAGAGUAUAGAAGAAAAGCGACUAAGCAUUGCAGAUUUCCAGCAAUCAUGGGAAUGAACCAAUUUUUCUAUUGUGUCUUCAGAAAACACCAGGAGGAUCUUUCUUUGUCAGUGUGCUUGACUGUGAAAACAGGAACUGGUGCCAAUACUCCAAGGAAAAGAAGAGUGUUCUAGGAAUCAGAGCGAAUAUUCUCACCCCAGUUCUACUAUUGAAAGGAAAACUGUAUUCAAGCCAAAUAAUAGUAUGACCUUCAGUAGGCUGAUAGUGUUUUAUCAUACACACACCGUCCAUAUAUCAUUACCUAAGCAGUAGAAGUACCUACUGCUAUGUUUCUAGAUUCUGAAGGGCUCUGCCUUAGGGCGCAUGUUACUCCAUCCAUUAGCUUUGGAUUCUUGGUUCUUGAUGGUGUUCUUCUGCCAAGAACUCCACUUUUGAAUUCCCAAGCCAACCAAAAGAACAGGUUUCCAAAGUCCCAUUACGUGCAAAGGAAGAAGGUACUUACGUAAGAAAAAAAUUAUAAGAUUCUAUUUAAAAAGACUAGAGAAAAUUGCCCAUUUCACUUAAACACUCUCUUUCUGAAUAAUCAGAACAAACACAGUACAACAUACCCAGUUAUAUAAACCAGAUUCAUACAGUCUCAGCAAGGCCUUCACAAACACAAAAUAUUUUUAUCUGGUCGGAAGCCAAAAUGCAAAACAAGUUGGGAAACUUGAUUCCAAGAAUUCCAGAGGAAAUAUGUUUUCCAAUCACAGAAAUAUAACUUCUUAAGCUCUUGCUGCUGCUUCUUAAAGUGCACAAGAAACCUAACGAGUGUUUAAACCACCUUAGAAAAUACAGCCAUUCUUUUAAUAUCAGCAAAAAUGCAAAUAAAAUAUAUCUCCUUUGCCAAGGAAAUGAUGACCCCAAGCUUCUCAUAUUUGUUGGGUUUUUAUGAUGUGAGUGAAAUGUGCUAAGAAGUCAGAGGGAAUUCUAGGCUGUCUCGGGGUGAGUCAAUUCACUGCAAUUUUCUUUAGCCUUUACGUUUUAAGGUCCUUGAAUCAGAAUGCAAAAUAUCUAUUUUAUAAAUGUCAUGUAUGAGGGAAAUAAAUACAAAAUGGAACUAAUUGACCUGUAAUAAUUUAUCUUGUCUGAUUAUCUGAUACUCAAGAUUCUGAGUGUUUGUUCCUUCAGAGCUUCGUCUCCUGCUGGGAGAUAAUUUAACACAUUAUACCCUAAUUUAUAUAAUGUCAGAAAGAUUAACUGUUACCAAAUCUGUAAUGAUAACGGCAGCAGAGUAGUUGAAGCAUCUUGUGGCAAUUACUAUUUUGUCAGAAAUUUCCUACCAAUUUUGAAGCGAG
Molecule: long non-coding RNA, 5132 nt
Filed under: Equus asinus (donkey)
Lineage: Eukaryota; Metazoa; Chordata; Mammalia; Perissodactyla; Equidae
Description: lncRNA (ENSEASG00005028621.1)
Source: RNAcentral